This is a long non-coding RNA of Equus caballus (horse), 1958 nucleotides long. NCBI's taxonomy places the organism in Eukaryota, Metazoa, Chordata, Mammalia, Perissodactyla, Equidae. The record is from Ensembl.
AGAACUUAGAGGCAUCCUGGCUGCACUGCCACAUCUGCCCUUGCCUAGAGAGGGUGUGCAGAUCCGUGCAGGACAAUUUAAGCCCUCGAGCAAUGGCCUCUGAAUCUUUCUCCACCUCGAGGCUCUGUUCUGCUUUGUGAUGGUUUCAUUCUCAGUCAGGUUUUCCCUAGGAAGAGGCAGAAAUGGCCACUGGCAGCUCCAGGCUUCCAUUUUACCAGCUUAGAAACUAUAGAAGGAAGAACAUGCCUCCUUCCCUUCACGCCAGCAGGUGUGCUGUGGCUGAUGCUGCCCUGGCUUGGAACACGUGAGCUUCCCAAACAAUCACAGAGGCCAGGGUGAUGAAAACUCUCAUGUGGCUACCUAGGAGCAGGCUGUUCUGGACAUUUGAAACACAACUGGAGAAGGCGGUUUCCCGAAGAAAAAUUGGAGGGCUGGGAUGCAAGGAAGUGGGAAGGAAUGCUGGGAAUGCUCAACAAUAGUUGUCUACAACAGUAUUUCCCUGAACAUCCAGGAAAAAUGUGGAAAAGCAAUUAUUUGCACACAUUUAAUAUUAUCUAGGAGCUGGCCCCACGGCCAAGUGGUGAAGUUCGCGUGCUCUUCUUCUGUGGGUUGGGGUUCGCUGGUUCAGAUCCUGGGUGUGGACAUACACACCGCUCAUCAAGACAUGCUGUGGUGGCAUCCCACAUAGAACUAGAAUGACCUACAACUAGGACAUACGACUAUGAACUGGGGCUUUGAGGAAAAAAAAGAAAAAAAUAUUGUCUUGAUUGCUUAGAAGCCACUGAAAGGUGCAAAGUCAAAGACAAGGGCAAAAACCAGGGCUUAACCACAGAAAUAUCUUAAUGCACGAUGGAAUGUGGGUGAGACAGGUAUGUGAAAAAUUGUAAUCAGGGAGAAAAUUGAUAGAUGCCAUGAUGUGAGCAUAAAUCCAGAGUUUAUAAAAACCAGCAAUGAUAGUGACAACUCAGAAAAUAUUGGAGAAGAAUUCUGGCAUUCUUGGCUUCCAUCCAGUAGGGCUGAACUCCUUAAACUUUAGUGUGACUCUGAUGUUGCUGUUCACGGACCUUGCACUGGGUAGCAAAGCAGUAGAGAGUUAGGUCAUUGCACAGCUUGUACUGAUCUCCUGUUCCUAAAGAAGAGGUGGUAGUGUUUGGAUAACACCAGGAUAGCGUCCCCAGUGCAGCACGGGCUGUGAGAAAGCUUGUUGGAGGGGUCGCUUCUAAAUGACGAGGCCUAGUGGGGCAGGUCGCCUGACCUCGAAUGCUAAUGUUGGCAGUUUCUCUUUGUGCUGUGGCAGCAUUUUCAAAAGUGCAUUAUGCUGCUAAAUGAAUUAUACACAGUGAGAUAAUCACAGGCCUCCACUGCCAACAGACAGCUCCCCCUGGAAUGAAUUUGGAGAGGGAGAGUAUUAAAAAAAUAGUCAAACUGUGGGAUAAUGGGUAACAAGAAAUAUUUUCAAAAUGAGCCAUAAAAGGAUGUUUGGAGAAAGUUAAUUUUUAAAUGUCUGCUCCUACUCUGUGGUACAGGCUCCCUGGAAGACUGAGAAGAGCAUUUCUUCUCCUUCUGCAGCUCUCCCCUGGGCUGUCUUUGGAAAAUAUUGAUUUGUCUCCUUAAUUUGUUAAGCAGCAAAUCCAACAACAAGUUUCAACUUGCUGACUUGAAUUUUCAUAGCAUGGUCAUAAUCAGACCCAGCUUAUAGCAGGGAACGCAACUGCAUUCUAAAUUGGGUCCUUCUUUUAUGUUAGAAGAAUAAGUGGAGGUACUCCUCAAAAUAUUCAAGGACCAAAUGUUUGAGUCUAGAAAUAAAAAAUGAAUAAAACAAAAUGAAAAAAAAUAUGAAGACUAUAACUCUGGGAGUUCAGGACAUACUGCAAUUAGGAUCUAGUUAUUUUUCAGGAAGUCAUUGGUCAUUUUGACUUUGAAGCCAUUGGUCAAAAGUGGAAAUUAGAAUUUACGGC